RNAcentral lists this ribosomal RNA (484 nucleotides) under uncultured bacterium. RNAcentral's name for it is "partial 16S ribosomal RNA". It matches the Rfam family "Bacterial small subunit ribosomal RNA", at positions 30 to 507 of the family's 1533-position model. The record is from RNAcentral.
AUUGAACGCUGGCGGCAGGCCUAACACAUGCAAGUCGAGUGGAUGAAGGGAGCUUGCUCCUGGAUUCAGCGGCGGACGGGUGAGUAAUGCCUAGGAAUCUGCCUGGUAGUGGGGGAUAACGUCCGGAAACGGGCGCUAAUACCGCAUACGUCCUGAGGGAGAAAGUGGGGGAUCUUCGGACCUCACGCUAUCAGAUGAGCCUAGGUCGGAUUAGCUAGUUGGUGGGGUAAAGGCCUACCAAGGCGACGAUCCGUAACUGGUCUGAGAGGAUGAUCAGUCACACUGGAACUGAGACACGGUCCAGACUCCUACGGGAGGCAGCAGUGGGGAAUAUUGGACAACGGGCGAAAGCCUGAUCCAGCCAUGCCGCGUGUGUGAAGAAGGUCUUCGGAUUGUAAAGCACUUUAAGUUGGGAGGAAGGGCAGUAAGUUAAUACCUUGCUGUUUUGACGUUACCAACAGAAUAAGCACCGGCUAACUUCGUG